GGAUUAUUUGCGUGGUGGUUGGGAAAGCGUGUGUGUGUGUUUUUUGGAGCGUAUGUGUAUUUGUGUGUAUGCUGCCAGUCGAGAUAAAGUGAGACAAAGGGAUUGCUUUAUGGGCAGCUCGUGUGCCUACCCAACAUCUUUAAUCCUUUUGUUCCAUGAACAGACAGGAGAAAAGUGCUAAAAUGCUAGAAAGUGCUUGUAAAGGGCUAAGGAAAAGUUCUGUAAAGUAGUUCUGAUUCCACGGCCACUUGGAUUGGAACUCUUUUUCAGCAAGCGAUGUUGCCGGGUGGUGGCCCAAGAGAAAAUUACCAGGGUAAGACGUCUGACCUAGGGACAGGGUAUUUUGCUCGGAGAAAAGCUGUUCUUUCACAAACAUAUAGACAAGCAAUUAGUCAUGGCAGCUUUGCCAUUUUCUGACAUGUUUAUUCAGAAGUCUUGGCUCCUGUGCAUAGCAAAGAGCUAUUUUGGAUGCUGAUGCUUACAGUGACGGUGAUAUUUGCACACAUCAUCAGGUCUCGCUUUGUUCCUUCUCAGCUAACCUUUUGUGUGCGAUCCUACUGGGGUUUAUUUAUUUAGGUUUCUGUUGAGGGGGAAAAGGCUCUGUCUUUAUCCCCUUUUUUUCAGGUCAGAGUAUUACAUAUUGAGGUUAUUCCAGCGAGUCGUCAGUAUGACGGAAACGUAGAAACGUGCUGUCUUGAUAAUGCCUUUCUCUGUAUCUUUUAACAUACCCAUUAUCCAGUCAUCCAUCAUUCCUCUCCCACCCCCUAAAUGAGGUGUAUGGGGUGCAUAAACAGUAGGACCCCCCCCCCCCCCCCCCCCCCCCCCCCCCAAAAAAAAAAAGCUGGGGUAAGGAGAGAUCCUUUCAGGUUUGGACAUUGGGACGGAAGUCAGACGUCCAGACUGUAUCAUUUUAGUUUUAAUAAAGACACACCGGUGGUUGCUAGACUGACAAUCUUUGUGCCACAUGCUGCUUUCAAAGUGAUUUAUGUCCAGGAAGGCUAUUAGAUUGCGUUCUGCUGUCCUGCUGCAUCCAUGCAACUGCUGGCUGCAAGACCCAAGGGAGUAGCACAGGAACAUGCUUCCCGUUCCUGGUCGAAAUGUUUGCAUUUUGCAGACGGUGGAUAAAAACACUGAGUUACAUUUGUCAGCGUUAAGGUUGUGCUAAUGUUCUUUUGUGUGUUAUCGGGCUUGCGGGUCUUGUGGAUGUGGAUAAAUAUAGAGAAUUACAGAAUGCACUAAUGUUGGGUUUAGUCAACGAUUGUGUUUGUAGUUUUCUGCCAACUUGACAACACGUGGCUAAACAGAAAAGCCAUUGUAAGCAUAAUGCAUGAGGCCAGCUCCUGUUUGAAGUGGGCUGAGCGCGGGUGGUGGCUCAGUGCAGGGAGAUAUGGGAGAACUGAGCCAGAGAAACUGAAAGGCCACUUGUCAAAGGACAGGGUUGAGACAAUGAGGCUCUUCGGGCUGGCACACUGGGAGCUAGGAAAAGGACAGAAAAAGUCAGGGUUGUGUUCGUUUAGUCCCACACAGACCCACUGCAGGAGACAGAGAGACGGAGGAAGAAAAAGAGAAAAGAGGAACAGCGAGAUGGAGGAAGAAAAGGAGAGGGAGACGGAGAGAUACAGAGAGAUGGAGGAAGGAAAGGAGAGGGAGAUGGACAUGGAGGAAGAAAAGGAGAGGGAGACGGAGAGAUACAGAGAGAUGGAGGAAGAAAAGGAGAGGGAGAUGGAGAGAGAUAGGGAUGGAGGAAGAAAAGGAGAGGGAGACAGAGAUAGAGAUGGAGGAAGAAAAGGAGAGGGAGAGAGAUACAGAGAGAUGGAGGAAGAAAAGGAGACUGGGAGAAAGAUGGAGACAGAGAGGGUGUGACAGAAGGGGAGAUUGAGAUGGAAACGGACAGCGAGGGAAAGGGAGGCAGAAAGAGAUAGAGGAAGAAAAGAGAGAGAGAGAGCAGUAUGAUGGGUUAGGGUCAACAUGUACUGCAAAGAUAUUUGACAUAGAUCCUGACUUUUUGCGUCCUGGUAAUUUAAGCAUGAAUGCAGAUCGUGGGAGUGUUUGUGAGUGUAAUCUGCAGCUAUUAAAAUGUGGCAGUGCUAAACCCUUUGAAGCUGCAGUGGAAAGCGUGUUUACGUGCAACACGACUGACACGGAAGAACACCGCAAGCUUCUACUGUGCUGAAAUGAGGCUGUAGCAUGAGAGGAAAAGCAGACCUAACUCGUUCUGAGCGGAAACGCGGAACGGAUGUGAACUUUCCAUCCUUUCCCACGGAGGAGAGGCGACUGGCCUGACCCGGCGCAGCAGGAACACAGGGACAAGAAAGGGACCCAAGAGGAAAUGGAAAACACAUAACCAAACACACGUACACAUGACACAUGUCCAGUAUCUGCACAUCUACUGUAGCUACUUCUGCAAACCAGCAUGCAUCUUAUGUGCAGUGUUCAGGGGUGAAACAUGGAGUAUACAUACUUCAUUAUUAUUGUUAAGUAUUAUUUUGGGGGUAAUUAUAUACUUUAAACACUUUAUAUAUUUAGAUGUUUACUUGAAUGUUACUGAAAUGGAAUGCUUUUACUCUUCAUCAUAAAGUGCCUUUUAUUACUUUUCCAAGUUACUUUUUGCACAUUAUAUUUUUAUUUAACCCCUUCAAUUUACUCUUAAAGUAUUUCAACAUCUUUCAACUAGUCAAUGACCGUAUGCAUCAAUAAAAUGGGCUCCAGUGGAUUUUAUUUACAGUAUAUAUCAAUUUCAAUCCAAUUCAUCGGUGUAUAUAAAGCCUAUUAAUAAUCAUACCAAUUCAGCAUCUGCUAUGAUCUCAAUUCCCUCAGUUAAAAUGAUGUCUUUUUUAAUACAUUUAAAAGCAGUAAUUUUUUGGCUUUCAUGUUUAGCUGGAUACAAGACUAGUUACAUUGCUACACUGUUUACUCUUAUUUCAGAUCGCAGUACUUCUACUUGCUACUAGUAAAUAGUUUGAGCUUGAUUCACUGUAUAGAGCACUAGAAGUGAAUAUAGCUGCUCUUCUGAGUUGCUGAAUGAUAUGCGACUUUCGAACAAUUCAUCUAUGAAGAUAACACCACACACUUCACUUGAAGAGACCCUUUGGGCUGGUGAAGCAUUGUUGUCUCCAGUAUGCUAUAAGAACUACGCUGAGUUUCUUGAUUAAUGUCCGUGAUGUCUGAAUUUUCUCAUAUUAGAUAGGAGAUAAUGUCCUAAUGGUUCAUGUGUCGGUUAUUGAGCUGGAGAGAUUGGGACUGAGACUAAUGACACCAAUAUGAAUCUUUCUGUUCCCCUCUGCAUUUUCAUUGGGGGCUGUUUGCUUCUAAUUGACUUGCAAUGAGCUCAAAGGAGCAGGAAGCUCACAGUUAAUGAGAGCAUCCAUUUUUAUUUGUAGUUCACUGGAAAUCAGUUUGGCCCUUGUUUGCAGCUUCGCCAUCCUCCUGAGUGUUCCAAUAAGAGGGAACCUGAUUUAUUGAUCUGAUAACCCUUUAGCCUACGGCGUGAAAUGAGGUUAGACCCCGUUAAGAACCUUGUGGUGAUUAUGAAAUUCAGGUUAUUGUUUAUUCAGAUUUUGUGGCUGUUUUUUUUUGUUGUGUUUUGUUUUGUUUUUGUUUUUCUACUGCCAUGACCAAAGCUACUUCAUUAUGGUGAUUUACUGUACGAGUAUGAUGCAGUGACAAUACUUUGUACUUUUAUCAUUCACAUCUUUUGACAAGAAUAGAAAAAUCUUCUUGCUCUCUACAGACAUGCCUAUGUGACUGAGGGAUGCUAAAUGAAAUGGCUUGGUGAAUGCUGGCAUCACAUUCUGAACUGAUUCGCAUGCAGCUAAAGAACAGAAAGGGCACAAAGCAGGAAACUUAAUUUAUUUACUGUAACUGAGGAAAUGUUCAAAUUAAUUUUUACAUACUACUCAGUUAUUGAUCCAGGCAGGAGUGAGUGAUUCAGUGAGCGAGUGAAUCAGUCUGUCAGUCAGUCACUGAAUCACUCACUCACUGACUCAUUGAUUCACUCACUGAAUCACUCACUGACUCAUUGAUUCACUCACUGAAUCACUCACUGACUCAUUGAUUCACUCACAGGAGAAUAUGGUUGAUCAAAAUUUCCAUACAGCAUUUGGUGCCACAUACACACUUUUCUGCCAAUCUUUGACCUUAACAUCAUUAGCUGUUUCCAUGGUGCCACGUAAACUCGGAGUUGUAUGUUGUUCUAUGACGAAUGACUUCAUCUCCAGGUUAAAUAUGAAGUUAUUAAAGUGUAUUUGUUGAGUGGGUAUGUUCUCUUUGGUCACCGAGGUUGGCAUCAGCCCAGGGCAUUAUGAUGCGGACAUGAAGUACUUUCUCAUUAGGAGGAAAAACAAGUAAUCCAGGUACUCUAAUUCAGAAAUGUCUUAAAAUGGUUUGCACUCAGAUAGCUGCUAUAAAACACAGUGCUCUACACUCAUAACAUGGCUAUUCAGUCCAUUUUAUUUCCAACUGAAACGCAGCAAUUAAUCUGAUUAUUAGUAUACCACUCCUGUCACUCGCUACACUAAUGGCCAGUAUGACAGCAAGGCCCUCUGCAUUAUUAAUAAUUCCAUUUGAAGAGCUGGGUGAUAUGCAGCCAGGCCGAGCCAGGGCCAUUGAUCAGAGCGCAGAAAACAUAAUGUCUACAGGGCAGAGAGAACCGGACAAGAAAUGAGACUCUCACAGUCACGCGCACAUUUUUACACAAUGCAUGGGUGAAAUAUAUUGUGCGAUUAAAAACUCAUGGUUGCACGCUUGAGUAAAGAAAGAGUGGUCCAUGAUUUUGACAAAAAUAAUGUACAUUGCAGUGCAGACAGAACAGUCUGAGAUCAGUUAAUGUGCCUAUUAAAAAGUUCUGUUUGUUUAUUAGAGCGCUCACUUGCAUCUAAUAGCCUUUUGCAAUAUCAAUAUAUCAGAUGAUGAUUAACAAAUGAUGUAUUGCAUGGCCCUAGUCCAAAUACACUCAGUCUAUGAAAAGUGAUAACAAGGAUGGAAGGAAGGAAAAAAAAAAGCAUGCAAGUGUGAGACAGAAAAAAAUGUAGAAGCGAUCUUUAAGGCAAUGAGGCACAUCUAAAUACUAGUAAGCUGCUCUGGGACUAUUAAAAGCAAAUGAGCAAGCAGGGGUCACAUGCCUCUUGUUAAAAUUCAUUUACUCUCAUGAUUUGUACCCCAACUUAAGUUACUUUCGGUUAAAUAAUAGCAUUUGUUACACCUUCAAGCAAAUCCUCUACAAUGUGAAAUCUAUCCAUUCGCCUUUGAAUUAAACCCAUAAAACAUCAUCUCUUCUACAGAGUCCCUGCGGUCUAACACAUACAUCACUUCCUGCUCUGUCACACUGGUUCGAAUCCAAACAAAGUUGUUCUGCCAAACGUUUGCUGUCCUCGCUAAGUCUCAAACAAGCUCAUCAUUCAAAGACAAACAGAGCCCUGUUCACUUGGACUGAGAUUAGUUUUCUGGAUAUUUGUGCUCACUCUUUGCCCUGAUCUGUGUGACUGGUGGCCAACAGAGCUGUAAACUAGAUGCAACUGACUAGCAUUUUAAAAAGGAUGGAUGGUAUGAUAAAAUGGUAUGAAUGCCAUGCUAAACUGCAUCCCUGUAUGCUUUUCUGAGAGUAUUGUGGAUAUUUAUAUUCCUUAAAGUGCCUUAUGUUUUGACACAAUUUUAACUGAAACAGGAAGUCAGGGCAGGACUUAUCAAGUGGCUCCUCCCCCUUUUUAAAUAGCCAACCUCACAGCCCGGGCUAUGCCAUACUUGACAGUUAGUACCAUGGGUUUUUAUAUUGUUGGGUGCGGGACACUUCAGACUCUCGAGAGCAUUUGCUUGGACAGAAAAUCUGAUGGGAAGCUGAAAUGCAGAAUCAAAAUUGUUGAUGCGUAUUUGUGGUAGAGAGAGACUGUACAUUUUAAAAGCAUAUAUUCUAAAUGCGGAUUUUGUCAUUGUUUUGGCGCACGUAAAGGCUAAUGUUCAUACUAAAAGCCACAAAACGUUUAACAACGCUCCAUUGUUACACAAAGUAGAUGUGUUGCAGUUUUUAUGUGUUUUGCUAAUGUGUGCUAGCACUGUAGCAAACCUAAAUACUGUGAUGCGUACUCUGUUGCAGGAACAAAAAAAUGUGAGCUUUUUAAUUUUUUCAUACGCAUCAUAUAGCAUCUCUAAUUUUAUACCCACUUUCUUCCCAGGUAGUUUUCCUCUUCACACACACACACACACACUGCUGAUUUAAACAGUUCUAACAGAGGUGCCAACUUGCCACAAAUGCUGAGUGCUGAUAACUCUUGCUAUAAUGUAGCAUAUUGUAGGAUAUCAAAAGAGAAAGUUAGUUGAAUAUGCUAGCAUGAGCACCCUCACUUUCUCAUGUUCAUUCUCUGUCAAUCUUAAC
This is a long non-coding RNA of Ictalurus punctatus (channel catfish), 6367 nucleotides long. Lineage: Eukaryota; Metazoa; Chordata; Actinopteri; Siluriformes; Ictaluridae. The record is from Ensembl.